RNAcentral lists this ribosomal RNA (422 nucleotides) under uncultured bacterium. Its description in RNAcentral is "bacterial SSU rRNA". It matches the Rfam family "Bacterial small subunit ribosomal RNA", at positions 32 to 434 of the family's 1533-position model. The record is from RNAcentral.
AAUCAACGCUGGCGGCGUGCCUCAGACAUGCAAGUCGAACGCGAAAGUCCCCUUCGGGGGACAAGUAGAGUGGCGCACGGGUGAGUAACACGUAGGUAAUCUACCUUUGGAUGGGGAAUAACAACCGGAAACGGUUGCUAAUACCGCAUAAUGCAGCGGCACCUAAUGGUGACAGUUGUUAAAGCGGGGGAUCGAAAGACCUCGCGUCUGAAGAGGAGCCUGCGGCGGAUUAGCUAGUGGUAAGGUAAUGGCUUACCAAGGCUACGAUCCGUAACCGGCCUGAGAGGGCGGUCGGUCACACUGACACUGACAUACGGGUCAGACUCCUACGGGAGGCAGCAGUCGGGAAUUUUGGGCAAUGGGCGAAAGCCUGACCCAGCAACGCCGCGUGAAGGAUGAAAUCCCUCGGGAUGUAAACUUCG